Molecule: ribosomal RNA, 328 nt
Filed under: uncultured eukaryote
Lineage: Eukaryota
Description: partial 18S ribosomal RNA
Rfam family: Eukaryotic small subunit ribosomal RNA
Source: RNAcentral
CCCUUAGAUGUCCUGGGCCGCACGCGCGUUACACUGAUGCAUUCAACGAGCUUAUAACCUUGGCCGAGAGGCCUGGGCAAUCUUGUUAACGUGCAUCGUGAUAGGGAUAGAUUAUUGAAAUUAUUAAUCUUGAACGAGGAAUUCCUAGUAAACGCAGAUCAUCAAUCUGCAUUGAUUACGUCCCUGCCCGUUGUACACACCGCCCGUCGCACCUACCGAUUGGAUGGUCCGGUGAAGCCUCGGGAUUGUGGUUCUUGCCGCUUUAUUGUGGCGUGACCGCGAGAACUUGUCUAAACCUUAUCAUCUAGAGGAAGGUGAAGUCGUAACA